This 253-nucleotide ribosomal RNA is filed under the name uncultured bacterium. RNAcentral's name for it is "partial 16S ribosomal RNA". It matches the Rfam family "Bacterial small subunit ribosomal RNA", at positions 524 to 776 of the family's 1533-position model. The record is from RNAcentral.
UACGGAGGGUGCGAGCGUUGUCCGGAAUCACUGGGCGUAAAGGGCGCGUAGGUGGCGCGGGCAGUCCACGGUGAAAGUUCGGGGCUCAACCCUGAAUCGGCCGUCGAUACUCCCGUGCUUGAGCACUGUAGAGGCAGAUGGAAUUCCGGGUGUAGCGGUGGAAUGCGUAGAGAUCCGGAAGAACACCGGUGGCGAAGGCGGUCUGCUGGGCAGUAGCUGACACUGAGGCGCGACAGCGUGGGGAGCAAACAGG